Arvicola amphibius (Eurasian water vole) is the source of this 561-nucleotide long non-coding RNA. RefSeq lists it as uncharacterized. The transcript has 4 exons. NCBI's taxonomy places the organism in Eukaryota, Metazoa, Chordata, Mammalia, Rodentia, Cricetidae. The record is from RefSeq and is a predicted model, not a curated record.
AAGCCAGGGCUGUGAAAUGGUUGAGGGUUCUGUUGAAUUCUGGAAAUGAGAUAGAGGAAUUUCCUGAAUCCACAUUUUAUAUUUUCUGUUUUCAGACUGGAUCUCACUAUAUAGUCCUGGCUGUCCUGAGACUAUCUAUGCAGAGCACGCAGAUCUCAAACGCAUAGAGAUCUACCAUGUACCCCUGUGUCGUGAAUGUUGCAUCACAGAUGCACACUGCCAUGCCUGGCUUCAACAGCUGUAUGGCGUCAAUGGACUGAACUGAAGGUACUUUCAUCCAUGAUGGACUAGGAACAGGGGGCAAAGUCCACAUCUAACCUUCAGAAUAGAAGUCUAUGUCCAGCAUGAACAGACACCUGGAGAAUCUCCAGUGAAGUCGCGGCAGAAGUCAUAUGACUUCAUCCUGACCAACCAGCAGAGUCCAGAUGAGUUUCCUGGUGUGAUUGAUUGAGUUCUUUCCAUGUGGGCCAUGAGAACAAGGCUGAGGACUCAAGUGAGGAUCCCAGAGCUGCCGAUACUGAACAACUUGGACUCUGCAGCACACGCUGGACUCUCCGUGAG